AGAGUUUGAUCCUGGCUCAGGAUGAACGCUAGCGACAGGCUUAACACAUGCAAGUCGAGGGGCAGCGGAGGCGAGUGCUUGCACUUGCCAGACGGCGACCGGCGCACGGGUGAGUAACACGUAUGCAACCUGCCCCUGUCAGGGGGACAACCCGCCGAAAGGCGGGCUAAACCCGCGUACAUGCCACCGGGGCAUCCCGGAGGCAGGAAAGGCUUCGGCCGGACAGGGAUGGGCAUGCGGCGCAUUAGGCAGUAGGCGGGGUAACGGCCCACCUAACCGACGAUGCGUAGGGGUUCUGAGAGGAAGGUCCCCCACACUGGUACUGAGACACGGACCAGACUCCUACGGGAGGCAGCAGUGAGGAAUAUUGGUCAAUGGCCGAGAGGCUGAACCAGCCAAGUCGCGUGAGGGAUGACGGCCCUACGGGUUGUAAACCUCUUUUGCCGGGGAGCAAAGAGCGGGACGCGUCCCGCCUCGAGAGUACCCGGAGAAAAAGCAUCGGCUAACUCCGUGCCAGCAGCCGCGGUAAUACGGAGGAUGCGAGCGUUAUCCGGAUUUAUUGGGUUUAAAGGGUGCGCAGGCGGAAGCGCAAGUCAGCGGUAAAAUUGAGAGGCUCAACCUCUUCCCGCCGUUGAAACUGCGUUUCUUGAGUGGGCGAGAAGUACGCGGAAUGCGUGGUGUAGCGGUGAAAUGCAUAGAUAUCACGCAGAACUCCGAUUGCGAAGGCAGCGUACCGGCGCCCAACUGACGCUCAUGCACGAAAGCGUGGGUAUCGAACAGGAUUAGAUACCCUGGUAGUCCACGCAGUAAACGAUGAAUACUCCCUGUCCGGGGAGAUUGUCUCUGGGCGGCCAACCAAAAGCGUUAGUAUUCCACCUGGGGGAGUUACGCCGGCAACGGUGAAACUCAAAGGAAUUGACGGGGGCCCGCACAAGCGGAGGAACAUGUGGUUUAAUUCGAUGAUACGCGAGGAACCUUACCCGGGCUCAAACGACGGAUGAAUACUUUUGAAAGGAGGUAGUCCUUCGGGACAUCCGUCGAGGUGCUGCAUGGUUGUCGUCAGCUCGUGCCGUGAGGUGUCGGCUUAAGUGCCAUAACGAGCGCAACCCCCAUCGCCAGUUGCCAACAGGUAAAGCUGGGAACUCUGGCGAGACUGCCGGCGCAAGCUGUGAGGAAGGCGGGGAUGACGUCAAAUCAGCACGGCCCUUACGUCCGGGGCGACACACGUGUUACAAUGGCAGGUACAGAGAGAUGCGACACGGCGACGUGGAGCGGAACUGUCAAAACCUGUCUCAGUUCGGAUCGGAGUCUGCAACCCGACUCCGUGAAGCUGGAUUCGCUAGUAAUCGCGCAUCAGCCAUGGCGCGGUGAAUACGUUCCCGGGUCUUGCACACACCGCCCGUCA
Molecule: ribosomal RNA, 1405 nt
Filed under: uncultured bacterium
Lineage: Bacteria
Description: 16S ribosomal RNA
Rfam family: Bacterial small subunit ribosomal RNA
Source: RNAcentral